This 1229-nucleotide ribosomal RNA is filed under the name Staphylococcus saprophyticus. RNAcentral describes it as "bacterial SSU rRNA". It matches the Rfam family "Bacterial small subunit ribosomal RNA", at positions 240 to 1465 of the family's 1533-position model. The record is from RNAcentral. Lineage: Bacteria; Bacillati; Bacillota; Bacilli; Caryophanales; Staphylococcaceae.
AUUAGCUAGUAGGUGGGGUAACGGCUCACCUAGGCGACGAUCCCUAGCUGGUCUGAGAGGAUGACCAGCCACACUGGAACUGAGACACGGUCCAGACUCCUACGGGAGGCAGCAGUGGGGAAUAUUGCACAAUGGGCGCAAGCCUGAUGCAGCCAUGCCGCGUGUGUGAAGAAGGCCUUCGGGUUGUAAAGCACUUUCAGCGGGGAGGAAGGCGGUGAGGUUAAUAACCUUGUCGAUUGACGUUACCCGCAGAAGAAGCACCGGCUAACUCCGUGCCAGCAGCCGCGGUAAUACGGAGGGUGCAAGCGUUAAUCGGAAUUACUGGGCGUAAAGCGCACGCAGGCGGUCUGUCAAGUCGGAUGUGAAAUCCCCGGGCUCAACCUGGGAACUGCAUUCGAAACUGGCAGGCUAGAGUCUUGUAGAGGGGAGGUAGAAUUCCAGGUGUAGCGGUGAAAUGCGUAGAGAUCUGGAGGAAUACCGGUGGCGAAGGCGGCCCCCUGGACAAAGACUGACGCUCAGGUGCGAAAGCGUGGGGAGCAAACAGGAUUAGAUACCCUGGUAGUCCACGCCGUAAACGAUGUCGAUUUGGAGGUUGUGCCCUUGAGGCGUGGCUUCCGGAGCUAACGCGUUAAAUCGACCGCCUGGGGAGUACGGCCGCAAGGUUAAAACUCAAAUGAAUUGACGGGGGCCCGCACAAGCGGUGGAGCAUGUGGUUUAAUUCGAUGCAACGCGAAGAACCUUACCUGGUCUUGACAUCCACAGAACUUUCCAGAGAUGGAUUGGUGCCUUCGGGAACUGUGAGACAGGUGCUGCAUGGCUGUCGUCAGCUCGUGUUGUGAAUGUUGGGGUUAAGUCCCGCAACGAGCGCAACCCUUAUCCUUUGUUGCCAGCGGUUCGGCCGGGAAUCCAAAGGAGACUGCCAGUGAUAAACUGGAGAAAAGUGGGGGUGAACUUAAGUCAUCAUGGCCCUUUACAACAGGGCUACACACGUGCUACAAUGCCAUAUACAAAGAGAAGCCACCUCGCGAGAGCAAGCGGACCUCAUAAAGUAUGUCGUAGUCCGGAUUGGAGUCUGCAACUCGACUCCAUGAAGUCGGAAUCGCUAGUAAUCGUAGAUCAGAAGCUACGGUGAAUACGUUCCCGGGCCUUGUACACACCCCUAUCACACCAUGGGAGUGGGUUGCAAAAGAAGUAGGUAGCUUAACCUUCGGGAGGGCGCUACCACUUGA